Molecule: ribosomal RNA, 454 nt
Filed under: uncultured bacterium
Lineage: Bacteria
Description: partial 16S ribosomal RNA
Rfam family: Bacterial small subunit ribosomal RNA
Source: RNAcentral
GAUGAACGCUGACAGAAUGCUUAACACAUGCAAGUCUACUUGAACUUCGGUUUGGGUGGCGGACGGGUGAGUAACGCGUAAAGAACUUGCCUCACAGAUAGGGACAACAUUUGGAAACGAAUGCUAAUACCUGAUAUUAUGAUUUUAGGGCAUCCUAGAAUUAUGAAAGCUAUAUGCACUGUGAGAGAGCUUUGCGUCCCAUUAGCUAGUUGAAGAGGUAACGGCUCACCAAGGCGAUGAUGGGUAGCCGGCCUGAGAGGGUGAUCGGCCACAAGGGGACUGAGACACGGCCCUUACUCCUACGGGAGGCAGCAGUGGGGAAUAUUGGACAAUGGACCAAGAGUCUGAUCCAGCAAUUCUGUGUGCACGAUGAAGUUUUUCGGAAUGUAAAGUGCUUUCAGUUGGGAAGAAAAAAAUGACGGUACCAACAGAAGAAGUGACGGCUAAAUACGUG